Molecule: unclassified non-coding RNA, 299 nt
Filed under: uncultured Sporormiaceae
Lineage: Eukaryota; Fungi; Ascomycota; Dothideomycetes; Pleosporales; Sporormiaceae
Description: partial contains 5.8S ribosomal RNA, internal transcribed spacer 2, and large subunit ribosomal RNA
Rfam family: 5.8S ribosomal RNA (bases 1-102)
Source: RNAcentral
AUGCGAUAAGUAGUGUGAAUUGCAGAAUUCAGUGAAUCAUCGAAUCUUUGAACGCACAUUGCGCCCUUUGGUAUUCCUUAGGGCAUGCCUGUUCGAGCGUCAUUUGAAACCUCAAGCUCAGCUUGGUGUUGGGUGUCUGUCCCCGCCUCCGCGGGGACUCGCCUCAAAAUCAUUGGCGGCCGGUACGUUGGCUUCGAGCGCAGCAGAAACGCGAACUCGAGGCCCGGCGGAUCGGCGACCAGAAGCCUCAUUCUUCACAGUUUGACCUCGGAUCAGGUAGGGAUACCCGCUGAACUUAA